CCGCGCAUCUUUACAAUCUGAAGUACUUCCUCGAUCAGGGUCUGGUGAAGGCCCCGCUGUUUGUGCAGACGGUGUUCGGUUUGCAGGGCGGCACAGGUGCCCAUCCGGAAGAUGUGCUGCACAUGAAGCGCACGGCGGACCGGCUGUUUGGCGACCAGUAUGUAUGGUCUGUGCUGGGAGCGGGCCGUAACCAGUUGCCGAUCGCUGC
This 208-nucleotide unclassified non-coding RNA is filed under the name Hevea brasiliensis (rubber tree). Lineage: Eukaryota; Viridiplantae; Streptophyta; Magnoliopsida; Malpighiales; Euphorbiaceae. The record is from RNAcentral.